Molecule: long non-coding RNA, 1046 nt
Filed under: Chinchilla lanigera (long-tailed chinchilla)
Lineage: Eukaryota; Metazoa; Chordata; Mammalia; Rodentia; Chinchillidae
Description: lncRNA (ENSCLAG00000025577.1)
Source: RNAcentral
CCAGGGAGGGCCUGUAUCCCCCACCCACUCCCCGGCCUUGGCUGUAGUCUUCCCGGCAUCUUUGAGGAAUCCUUUCUUUUCCUCUUAGACUUCAAAAGCAAUGCUCCCUAUUCACCCCUUACAACCUGCCCUCCUUUAGUAUGGCGCCAACACCAAAUUGGCUGGGAAAGGAAGUGCCUGGAAGGAAAGCAGAGAAAAACCUCAACACUUGCUCCAAGUAGUACAAGGACUGGACAGAGGAAAGAAAGAGAAAGCGAAGGCCCUGUUUUAGAAAAGGAACACUCUAUAUCCCUAAAGCAGAGAGGAGACAGAAGAGCCAUAAAAUAGGAUAUAGAACCUGAUCUCCAGGUUCAGUGGGAGGUGGACAGUGACUGCAUGAUGAACAAUUGCUAUCACAUGCCUAGACUGAUGAAUGAGUACACAUCUCUGAAUACCGAAAAAACAGCGACAAGGCCGGAAGUCAUUGAUUUCUCUCUCUCAGUACACAUCAUAGCUCCUGUCUCUGAGAUUCCUUUACUGGCUUCUCUGUGCAGAUGAGGCACUAGGUUUUUGUUGAUAAUCAAAGGAGUAGCCAGACCUUGAUUUUAUUUCCCCCAAGUAUAUUUCAACCCUUAAAUUCACCAAUGUGAACAGAAAUCCUUUUGUAAAAGUUGCCUUUCAGGUAAAUAUCACAUUUCUUGUCUUGUUUAACAGAGAAGAAUUUGAAUUUCAGUUGUUAAGUGGCAUAUAGUUCUUUUUUUAAUCCACCCUGAUGAAUUUUGCCUUUUAAUUGUAAUGUUUAAGCUGUUUACCUAUAAUGUAAUAAUUGAUAUAUCUGGGCUUAAACCUACUAUUUUACUAUUUGCUUUCUACAUACUGUGCUUGUUCUAUGUUGCUUUUUUAUUUUUCUCUUACUUUUGGAUUGCUUAAUGAUUUUUUUCAAUUCCAUUUUCCUUAUUACCUUAAUUAUACAUUCUAUUACUAUGCAUGGAGUGAUUAUACAUGUAAAUGAUCUAUUUGACUAUGUAAUGCUGUCUAUGUAAUGCUCCUAAAUAAAUAUUAGAUCC